GGGAAUGUUUUCCGUCAGAUAAGUCCGUUUUAUUUUACAUUGAUUGUUUUUAUACAUAGGAUUAAGCAUAAUUAUAAUUAUUAUUGCUCUAGAUUGCAGGAAAAAGCAAAUGCAAAACUCUUCAAUUUACAGACAGGGCCCUGCAAAGACACAAUGCAGACUACUUUUUGUCAAGGGAAUAUUCACUGUGUAUGGAUUUGUAUUUGGCUCUGGCACAAGACUUUAUGUGACAGACGACAAGCAUGUACAAAAACCCAAAGUGACGGUCUACCCAGCGUCCAACCCUGAGCCGAAUGGGAAGAUCACCCUGCUAUGUCUGGCUAGAGACAUGUUUCCAGACUUAGUCAAGAUCUCAUGGAAGAUGGAGGAUGAAUACAGCAGAACAAUGGAGGUGGCCAAAGCAGAGAGGGAAGAGCUGGAGCAGAGGGAGGAAGGACAGAUGACCAGUAUGAUCAUCAUUGAUAAAGAGAAGAUGUACAGGAACAAAUACAUCUGUUCUGUGGAGCAUGAAUGGGGCAUUCAAGAUGUUGACAUACCAAGGGAUUCCUUCCCGCUCAUGUGCAGUCUGAACCUGGCCUCUCUGGUUUAUACAGUGAUGAUAGUGAAGAGCAUGGUGUACUGCUGUGGGCUCUCUCUCCUGCUGCACCACAGGAACAUGGGGAAGUGGACACAACACCUGUAGAAAGGAUACUCCCCAGUAUGGAUAAAGAUGUAGUAGGCUGGGAAUAACAUGGAUUUUACAUCCUAUUGAGGUCUAACAUCUCAAUUGUUGGCCUAUUGCCUUAAUUUUUUCAACUUUAUUUUUCAAAUGCUAAAAUAUUGUGAGCCAUAGAUUUCCAUGUCUUC
Long non-coding RNA from Oncorhynchus tshawytscha (Chinook salmon), 846 nucleotides. The record is from Ensembl. Lineage: Eukaryota; Metazoa; Chordata; Actinopteri; Salmoniformes; Salmonidae.